This 63-nucleotide transfer RNA is filed under the name Camelus bactrianus (Bactrian camel). It matches the Rfam family "tRNA". Rfam says of the family: Transfer RNA (tRNA) molecules are approximately 80 nucleotides in length. Their secondary structure includes four short double-helical elements and three loops (D, anti-codon, and T loops). Further hydrogen bonds mediate the characteristic L-shaped molecular structure. tRNAs have two regions of fundamental functional importance: the anti-codon, which is responsible for specific mRNA codon recognition, and the 3' end, to which the tRNAs corresponding amino acid is attached (by aminoacyl-tRNA synthetases). tRNAs cope with the degeneracy of the genetic code in two manners: having more than one tRNA (with a specific anti-codon) for a particular amino acid; and 'wobble' base-pairing, i.e. permitting non-standard base-pairing at the 3rd anti-codon position. RNAcentral also lists the same sequence under 1 other name. Lineage: Eukaryota; Metazoa; Chordata; Mammalia; Artiodactyla; Camelidae. The record is from Rfam by way of RNAcentral.
GGUGUAGUAGCUCAGUGGUAGAGCACAUGCUUGGCAUGCAGGUGGGUUCUAUCCCCAGUACCU